GGCUCCCUUCGGGGUCCGCAUUGUAAUUUGCAGAGGAUGCUUCGGAAUCGGCCCCCAUCUAAGUGCCCUGGAACGGGCCGUCAUAGAGGGUGAGAAUCCCGUCUGGGAUGGGGUGUCCGUGCCCGUGUGAAGCUCCUUCGACGAGUCGAGUUGUUUGGGAAUGCAGCUCUAAUUGGGUGGUAAAUUUCAUCUAAAGCUAAAUAUUGGCCGGAGACCGAUAGCGCACAAGUAGAGUGAUCGAAAGAUGAAAAGCACUUUGAAAAGAGAGUUAAAAAGCACGUGAAAUUGUUGAAAGGGAAGCGCUUGCGACCAGACUCGCCCGCGGGGUUCAGCCGGCAUUCGUGCCGGUGUACUUCCCCGCGGGCGGGCCAGCGUCGGUUUGGGCGGCCGGUCAAAGGCCCCUGGAAUGUAACGCCUCUCGGGGCGUCUUAUAGCCAGGGGUGCCAUGCGGCCUGCCCGGACCGAGGAACGCGCUUCGGCUCGACGCUGGCAUAAUGGUCGUAAGCGACCCGUCUUGAAACACGGACCAAGGAGUCUAACAUCUACGCGAGUGUUCGGGUUCAAACCCGUGCGCGCAGUGAAAGCGAACGAGGGCCCCCCGGGUGCACC
Molecule: ribosomal RNA, 609 nt
Filed under: Penicillium steckii
Lineage: Eukaryota; Fungi; Ascomycota; Eurotiomycetes; Eurotiales; Aspergillaceae
Description: LSU rRNA
Rfam family: Eukaryotic large subunit ribosomal RNA
Source: RNAcentral